Molecule: ribosomal RNA, 433 nt
Filed under: uncultured bacterium
Lineage: Bacteria
Description: partial 16S ribosomal RNA
Rfam family: Bacterial small subunit ribosomal RNA
Source: RNAcentral
AACGAACGCUGGCGGCAUGCCUAACACAUGCCAGUCGAACGAGACCUUCGGGUCUAGUGGCGCACGGGUGCGUAACGCGUGGGAACCUGCCCUUAGGUUCGGAAUAACUCCCCGAAAGGGGUGCUAAUACCGGAUAAUGUCUUCGGACCAAAGAUUUAUCGCCUUUGGAUGGGCCCGCGUUGGAUUAGCUAGUUGGUAGGGUAAAAGCCUACCAAGGCGACGAUCCAUAGCUGGUCUGAGAGGAUGAUCAGCCACACUGGGACUGAGACACGGCCCAGACUACUACGGGAGGCAGCAGUGGGGAAUAUUGGACAAUGGGUGAAAGCCUGAUCCAGCAAUGCCGCGUGAGUGAUGAAGGCCUUAGGGUUGUAAAGCUCUUUUACCCGGGAUGAUAAUGACAGUACCGGGAGAAUAAGCUCCGGCUAACUCCGUG